This 438-nucleotide ribosomal RNA is filed under the name Wolbachia endosymbiont of Bactrocera dorsalis. RNAcentral's name for it is "bacterial SSU rRNA". It matches the Rfam family "Bacterial small subunit ribosomal RNA", at positions 992 to 1428 of the family's 1533-position model. Lineage: Bacteria; Pseudomonadati; Pseudomonadota; Alphaproteobacteria; Rickettsiales; Anaplasmataceae. The record is from RNAcentral.
UAUACCUAUUCGAAGGGAUAGGGUCGGUUCGGCCGGGUUUCACACAGGUGUUGCAUGGCUGUCGUCAGCUCGUGUCGUGAGAUGUUGGGUUAAGUCCCGCAACGAGCGCAACCCUCAUCCUUAGUUACCAUCAGGUAAUGCUGGGGACUUUAAGGAGACCGCCAGUGAUAAACUGGAGGAAGGUGGGGAUGAUGUCAAGUCAUCAUGGCCCUUAUGGAGUGGGCUACACACGUGCUACAAUGGUGGCUACAAUGGGCUGCAAAGUCGCGAGGCUAAGCUAAUCCCUUAAAAGCCAUCUCAGUUCGGAUUGUACUCUGCAACUCGAGUGCAUGAAGUUGGAAUCGCUAGUAAUCGUGGAUCAGCACGCCACGGUGAAUACGUUCUCGGGUCUUGUACACACUGCCCGUCACGCCAUGGGAAUUGGUUUCACUCGAAGCU